Molecule: ribosomal RNA, 1520 nt
Filed under: Clostridiales bacterium
Lineage: Bacteria; Bacillati; Bacillota; Clostridia; Eubacteriales
Description: bacterial SSU rRNA
Rfam family: Bacterial small subunit ribosomal RNA
Source: RNAcentral
UUUUUUAAGAGUUUGAUCCUGGCUCAGGAUGAACGCUGGCGGCGCGCUUAACACAUGCAAGUCGAACGAAACUGAUCUCUUAGGAGAUUAGUUUAGUGGCGGACGGGUGAGUAAUAUGCAAACAACUUGUCUUGUAGUGGGGGAUAGCCGAGAGAAAUUUCGAUUAAUACCGCAUAAUAUAGUUCGGAUGCAUAUUCGAAUUAAGAAAAAAGUAAUUUGCUACUAGAGAGGUUUGUAUCUGAUUAGCUAGUUGGUGGGGUAAUGGCUCACCAAGGUUACGAUCAGUAGCCGAUUUGAGAGAAUGAACGGCCACACUGGGACUGAGAUACGGCCCAGACUCCUACGGGAGGCAGCAGUGGGGAAUAUUGCGCAAUGAGGGAAACCUUGACGCAGCGACGCCGUGUAAAGGAAGAAGGCCUUCGGGUCGUAAACUUAUAUCGACUGUGAAGAUUUCGGACGGUAACAGGGUAAGAAGCUCCGGCUAACUACGUGCCAGCAGCCGCGGUAAUACGUAGGGAGCAAGCGUUAUCCGGAUUGAUUGGGUGUAAAGGGUGCGUAGGCGGUUUUACAAAGUCAUAUGUUAAAUCUCGUGGCUCAACUGCGAUUUUGCAUAAGAAACUGGUAAACUAGAGUACAGGAGAGGCAAGCGGAAUUCCUAGUGUAGCGGUGGAAUGCGUAGAUAUUAGGAAGAACACCAGUGGCGAAGGCGGCUUGCUGGACUGUGACUGACGCUGAGGCACGAAAGCGUGGGGAGCAAACAGGAUUAGAUACCCUGGUAGUCCACGCUGUAAACGAUGAGCGCUAGGUGUCGGCAAUGUAUUUGUCGGUGCCGCAGUUAACACAAUAAGCGCUCCACCUGGGUAGUACGGUCGCAAGACUGAAACUCAAAGGAAUUGACGGGGGCCCGCACAAGCGGUGGAGCAUGUUGUUUAAUUCGACGCAACGCGAAAAACCUUACCAAAACUUGACAUAACACUGAGUCGAUAGAAAUAUCGAGGCCUUUCGGGGAGGUGUUACAGGUGGUGCAUGGUUGUCGUCAGCUCGUGUCGUGAGAUGUUGGGUUAAGUCCCGCAACGAGCGCAACCCUUACUGCCAGUAGCUAAUUGUGUUUUCACAAAGCACACUGUCAGAACCGCUGCAGGCAAUGCAGAGGAAGGAAGGGACGAUGUCAAAUCAUCAUGCCCCUUAUGUUUUGGGCAACAAACGUGCUACAAUGGUAAUAACAAUGUGAUGCAAAGAGGUAACUUAGAGCUAACCAUUAAAAUUUAUCUUAGUUCGGAUUGUAGUCUGCAACUCGACUACAUGAAGCUGAAAUCGCUAGUAAUCGCGAAUCAGCAUGUCGCGGUGAAUGCGUACCCGGGCCUUGUACACACCGCCCGUCAAACCAUGGGAGUUGAUAGUUCCUAAAGUCUAUAUCUUAACCUUUCACAAGGAAAGAGUGGUCUAGGGAAAGAUCAGUGACUGGGGUUAAGUCGUAACAAGGUAGCCGUAUCGGAAGGUGCGGCUGGAUCACCUCCUUU